This 428-nucleotide ribosomal RNA is filed under the name uncultured bacterium. RNAcentral's name for it is "bacterial SSU rRNA". It matches the Rfam family "Bacterial small subunit ribosomal RNA", at positions 355 to 775 of the family's 1533-position model. The record is from RNAcentral.
UGGGGAAUAUUGGACAAUGGGGGGAACCCUGAUCCAGCCAUGCCGCGUGUGUGAAGAAGGCCUUUUGGUUGUAAAGCACUUUAAGCGAGGAGGAGGCUACCUAGAUUAAUACUUAGGAUAGUGGACGUUACUCGCAGAAUAAGCACCGGCUAACUCUGUGCCAGCAGCCGCGGUAAUACAGAGGGUGCGAGCGUUAAUCGGAUUUACUGGGCGUAAAGCGUGCGUAGGCGGCCAAUUAAGUCAAAUGUGAAAUCCCCGAGCUUAACUUGGGAAUUGCAUUCGAUACUGGUUGGCUAGAGUAUGGGAGAGGAUGGUAGAAUUCCAGGUGUAGCGGUGAAAUGCGUAGAGAUCUGGAGGAAUACCGAUGGCGAAGGCAGCCAUCUGGCCUAAUACUGACGCUGAGGUACGAAAGCAUGGGGAGCAAACAG